ACGGAAGGCAGCAGUGGGGGAUAUUGCACAAUGGGGGAAACCCUGAUGCAGCGACGCCGCGUGAGUGAAGAAGUAUUUCGGUAUGUAAAGCUCUAUCAGCAGGGAAGAAAAUGACGGUACCUGACUAAGAAGCUCCGGCUAAAUACGUGCCAGCAGCCGCGGUACUACGUAUGGAGCAAGCGUUAUCCGGAUUUACUGGGUGUAAAGGGAGCGUAGACGGCGUGGCAAGUCUGAUGUGAAAGCUAUGGGCUCAACCCAUAAACUGCAUUGGAAACUGUCAUGCUAGAGUGUCGGAGAGGUAAGCGGAAUUCCUAGUGUAGCGGUGAAAUGCGUAGAUAUUAGGAGGAACACCAGUGGCGAAGGCGGCUUACUGGACGAUAACUGACGUUGAGGCUCGAAAGCGUGGGGAGCAAACAGGAUUAGAUACCCUGGUA
RNAcentral lists this ribosomal RNA (434 nucleotides) under uncultured bacterium. RNAcentral's name for it is "partial 16S ribosomal RNA". It matches the Rfam family "Bacterial small subunit ribosomal RNA", at positions 341 to 792 of the family's 1533-position model. The record is from RNAcentral.